UACGGGAGGCAGCAGUGAGGAAUAUUGGUCAAUGGGCGCGAGCCUGAACCAGCCAAGUAGCGUGCAGGAUGACGGCCCUAUGGGUUGUAAACUGCUUUUAUGCGGGGAUAAAGUCGGCAACGUGUACCCGUUUGUAGGUACCGCAUGAAUAAGGACCGGCUAAUUCCGUGCCAGCAGCCGCGGUAAU
This 187-nucleotide ribosomal RNA is filed under the name uncultured rumen bacterium. RNAcentral's name for it is "partial 16S ribosomal RNA". It matches the Rfam family "Bacterial small subunit ribosomal RNA", at positions 340 to 524 of the family's 1533-position model. The record is from RNAcentral.